RNAcentral lists this ribosomal RNA (433 nucleotides) under uncultured bacterium. RNAcentral describes it as "partial 16S ribosomal RNA". It matches the Rfam family "Bacterial small subunit ribosomal RNA", at positions 29 to 507 of the family's 1533-position model. The record is from RNAcentral.
AACGAACGCUGGCGGCAUGCCUAACACAUGCAAGUCGAACGAGACCUUCGGGUCUAGUGGCGCACGGGUGCGUAACGCGUGGGAACCUGCCCUUAGGUUCGGAAUAACUCCCCGAAAGGGGUGCUAAUACCGGAUAAUGUCUUCGGACCAAAGAUUUAUCGCCUUUGGAUGGGCCCGCGUUGGAUUAGCUAGUUGGUAGGGUAAAAGCCUACCAAGGCGACGAUCCAUAGCUGGUCUGAGAGGAUGAUCAGCCACACUGGGACUGAGACACGGCCCAGACUCCUACGGGAGGCAGCAGUGGGGAAUAUUGGACAAUGGGCGAAAGCCUGAUCCAGCAAUGCCGCGUGAGUGAUGAAGGCGUUAGGGUUGUAAAGCUCUUUUACCCGGGAUGAUAAUGACAGUACCGGGAGAAUAAGCACCGGCUAACUCCGUG